GAUGAACGCUGGCGGCGUGCCUAAUACAUGCAAGUCGAGCGAACAGACGAGGAGCUUGCUCCUCUGACGUUAGCGGCGGACGGGUGAGUAACACGUGGAUAACCUACCUAUAAGACUGGGAUAACUUCGGGAAACCGGAGCUAAUACCGGAUAACAUGUUGAACCGCAUGGUUCAACAGUGAAAGACGGUCUUGCUGUCACUUAUAGAUGUAUCCGCGCCGCAUUAGCUAGUUGGUAAGGUAACGGCUUACCAAGGCAACGAUGCGUAGCCGACCUGAGAGGAUGAUCGGCCACACUGGAACUGAGACACGGUCCAGACUCCUACGGGAGGCAGCAGUAGGGAAUCUUCCGCAAUGGGCGAAAGCCUGACGGAGCAACGCCGCGUGAGUGAUGAAGGUCUUCGGAUCGUAAAACUCUGUUAUUAGGGAAGAACAAAUGUGUAAGUAACUAUGCACGUCUUGACGGUACCUAAUCAGAAAGCCACGGCUAACUACGUG
This 497-nucleotide ribosomal RNA is filed under the name uncultured bacterium. RNAcentral describes it as "partial 16S ribosomal RNA". It matches the Rfam family "Bacterial small subunit ribosomal RNA", at positions 28 to 507 of the family's 1533-position model. The record is from RNAcentral.